This 69-nucleotide transfer RNA is filed under the name Carabus arvensis. Its description in RNAcentral is "tRNA-Met". The record is from RNAcentral. Lineage: Eukaryota; Metazoa; Arthropoda; Insecta; Coleoptera; Carabidae.
AAAAAGAUAAGCUAACUAAGCUAUUAGGUUCAUACCCUAAAUAUAAAGGCCAUAAUCCUUUUCUUUUUA